Long non-coding RNA from Mus musculus (house mouse), 4160 nucleotides. RefSeq annotates it as predicted gene, 51821. The transcript is spliced from 2 exons. The record is from RefSeq and is a predicted model, not a curated record. Lineage: Eukaryota; Metazoa; Chordata; Mammalia; Rodentia; Muridae.
GCUGAGGAUAGGCCCAGGUGAGCAGCAGUGUGGGUGGCGCGGCUCACCCUCUGCUCAUCAGUCUUGCCUACCCAUGACUGUGGCUUCAAAUGCUCACAUACAAGCCAGCAUGUGAACUCAUUCAGACAAUCAAUGGGAGGGUCAGUAAAAUGCAUGGCAACUGCUAUUUUAUAGAGGAAAUGACUGGGGCUUAAAGACUGUAGGUGGCUUAUUCAAACACAGACUCAACCCAAACAUGCUGUCACAGGCCCAUUCCUGGGAGCAGCACCUGAGGGUCCGUCCAGGACAUCUGAGGACUGUUGCUUAAAGAAAGGAAGAUGAAGACAUCUCGGAGUCUUGCUUGAGAAUGGAGAUGGGAGAGCAGAAGCCUUACCUGGGACAGACAGACAGCACAGAACCAAUCUCCUUCUGGAACAGCCUCCAUCUUGGGCCGAUGACAGUAAAUGUGGCAGCCUCGGUCACACCCAUCACACAGCAGGAGAAACUCAUCAUUAUCGCCCUUCCGGCAGACCAGGCAGGUCUGGACCAUCGUGAAAAGGCAGAGACGUAUGUCUACAUCACUAUGGCCACAGUCUACAGAUGAAGAAACUGAAGCCUAUAGCUGGUGUGUGACAGCAGAAGUAGGUGAGUAGCUUGACUCUUUAGUCUACCACGCCACAGAGUCAAAAGCCCACGAGGACUAGGCAGAAGGAAGUGCUCACUUUUGUCUGGACUUCACCCCAAACUUCCACAGUUGCACCUACCUGUGCUCCCUUCCGAUCCUUCCACAAAGAUACCAGCAAGAUACGGUAAUACCCAGUAAUGGCGUCUAUAGCGGUCUUGACCCAAGGACACUGCCCGAAGCAUCUGGGAUGAGUGAAGCAGCUUUUUUCUAAAGAAGAGCUGACGCUGGGUAGGAAAUGGAAAAGGAAUAGAAACCAUUUCCAUCAUGGCAUGAUGGACUUCAGUACCCAUGAGAGAACUGAAGCCUAUCAACCUCCCUACAAAACUGAUAUAAUUUGAACAAGGGCUUCAGCUCUUGUGCAACCCACAUUUCCCGACUUUUAUGAGAUUAAAAACAUGGUACCUUACUGAGUUUUUCUAUAUGGCGCUCUAGCUCUGGAAUGCUAGAUGCUGCAACAUCAAUCUGCACAGAAACAAGCGGACAUUGAGAAAGGAGAGCUACCAGAUCCAAAAAAAAGAUGAAAACUUUCUAAUUGACUUUGGUCUGUACCUCUCCUUCUUUUCGACCCCUGCGGCCAUGGACAGCUGUUGUAUUUUCUUCCUCUUCCUCCUCUUCUAUGCCACUGGUUUCCUCCAUGAUCCGAGAACUGCGCCUCCGUCCUAGGCCGUCUUCUGCCCCUUCCAUCAUAACCUCAGGCCGCCCAGUUCGCUUGGCCAGAGCAGUUUUCAGUCUUAAGAAAUAGAAAUUAGGCUAAGACGCUGGUGAAGAAUAUAAUACCAAAAAAGAAACACUUGAAAUUUACAUUUUCCAGAGCCCUGGCUAUGCCUCACCCUCCCUCUGGGCUCUACUCUGUCCUGUCCCUACCUCCGGAGUCGGCCUUCAACAAUCCACUUGUUCUUCCUGCAGCUAGACACACUUUCCAGAGUCUUGUCAAUCUCACUGCAGGGGAACGAACAUGGGGGAAGUUUUGAGGGAAAAGUGGCAGCAAAAAGAAAAGAAAGAUUAAGUGUUACAGAGCUGUAGGGAUGGAUCUCAGUCUAGUUCAAACAGGAUGGAUGACAAAGGAAGGCUUACAAUGAGUCUAUGCCCAAUCACUCCAGCAUCCUCAGAGAAGAGCAACACCCACACCACCCAGGGGCUUCUGGAGAGCUAAGCCCCUCCCCUACACAGGCACAGGAUUGACCAUUCCCACCCAAGCCCUCACUUGAUGAUAAUGGUGGAGCUGUUAAGCUCAUGCACAAGGAAGGCUAGAAUAGCAGCCUUCUGUUGAGGUGGCUGGGCCUGAAAAGGCUGGGUACGCAGACUGUCACAGAAGGAUGGCUCCACUCUAUAUGCCAUGAGGAAGCAGCGCAGUAUCUCAGACACAUUAUCUCUGGUCAAUGGGAUCUCUGACAUCUUCUCCCCCAAUAUCUUCAGGGACUGUUUGGAAGGAAGCACAAUGGAAAUGAGAAGGAACUAGGAACAACUCAAGUUGGGGGAGCCUGGGAGAGUUCCAGGGUUAAGGUAAAACUGUAAGAGGAAAGGAUGAGGUCAGCAAGACGGCUCAGAUGAUCAUGGAAUUUGCCCCUGAGUCUGAUACAAAUACCUUUAAUUCCCAGACCCACUUGAUGGAAGAACAACUGAUUCCCCACAACACAUACAUACAUGCAAAUACAUACAAUAAACAAACAUAAUUUUAAACACAGAUCUGGUUCUCAACACCCAUAAGGCCGUUCUCAACUAUCCACAAUCCAGUUAUGGGGAUCCAGCCUUGUCUUCUGGCCUGCAGGGGCACCAGGUACACACACGACACACAUGCGUACAUGCAGGCAAACACUCGUCUACAUAAAACAAAACUAAAUCUUAACAAAAAAAAAUUUUGAACCCUUCCUUCUUUUCUGACAGGGUCUCAUUACGUAGCCUGGGCUGGCCUGGAACUUGCUAUACGGAACAGGCUCAAAUAGGCCCACCUGCCUUUACCUCCCAGAGACCAAAAGUGUACACCACCAAAGCCAGCUCUAAGAAAUGUUUGUGGAAAAAGGAGAAAAAGAAUGAAAGUUGCAGGGACAUGGGCUGAAGAGACGGGUCAGCAGUUAGGAGCAGUGAUUGCUUUUCCAUAGGACCUGGGUUGAGUUGCCAACAUCCGUAAGACAGCUCACAACUGUCUGUGAGUCUUGAUUUCAGGUGAUCCAACACCAUUUUUUGGUCAGUGUAGUACCAGGCAUACGUGUGGUACACAAACAGACAAGCAAAACAUGUCUACACAUAAAUAGAAUUUAAAAAUUAAGGGAAAAAGUUACUAGAAAAAGGUGAAAGGCCGGGUGUGGUGGCGCACACCUUUAGUCCCAGCACUGGGGAGGCAGAGGCAGGCGGAUUUCUGAGUUCGAGGCCAGCCUGGUCUACAAAGUGAGUUCCAGGACAGCCAGGGCUAUACAGAAAAACCCUGUCUCGAAAAAAAAAAAAAAAAAAGAAAAAGGUGAAAGACUACAAAGAGAAACUGCAAAGUAAGAAAAGAGAAAAUGAACAAAUGAAGCCUUGCAAAGAAAAAGGCAUAUAAAGGCUAGAAACAGGAAGCAACUACGUUUCCCUUACUUCUGUGGUUGCUUUAGGGGAAGCUUUUACGUGUUCUCAAGGAGAGAGCAAAACUGUAACCCAGGCCCAGGAACACCUACCUGACAGUAGGGGGGCAGACCAGGAUCAUGGAGUGCAGCCUUCAGCAGUCGCACCAGCAGGUCCUGCACUUUGUCCAAGCUGUCACCUUGACAUAAGAGUCCCUCCUGCAGGACUCCUAGACUAGGAACAUCUUUGGUAAGGUCAAAGCCUAGCACUUUGCCAAAACUGUGAAGGAACUCCACGAUGGUCAAGCAAUCUGAGAAAGCCCUACUGGACAGUGUCAAACCAGGGAUGCGUGUGAAGUCAGGCAGGGGCUGGGGAGAGAAAAGCGCAUGGGUAUCUUGUUAGACUCACAAGAGGCACUGUCUAGAAUUCACAAGUCCUUCUGGUAACACGAGAAAUGUCCUCAGCACUGGCCCUUCCAUGACCCUUAAUACCUGGUGGUCAGACAGACACAUAUCCUCUGUGGGCUUCUUCAUCUCCUCCAGGAUAGCCUGCUGCCUCUGCUGCUCCUCUAGCCGCUUCUGUGUGGCAAGGGUCUUGUCUGCUCUACAGGAUGGCCUGGCUCUGGGCCCUUCCUUCCCCUUCGCUUUUACCUUUUCUUUCUUUUCUCGCUUUACCUUUUCCUUCAGCUUUUCCUGCUUUGUCUUCAUCUUCUCUUUCUCAGCCUGCCCACCCAGAGAGGAAGACACACGUCAGCGCGUGAGGACCCGUCCAGCCGCGCCUGGUCCUAGGACCUCACACUCGAGUCCAAGAUCUAACUGUCGCACUGACACAGUGCACUUGGAGAACCUCUGUGGUGCUUUACAAACAGACUUGAGAGCAGAACUCAGCUCUGUGGUUGAGUGCUUGUCUAGCAUGCAUAAUGUACCCUGGGAAAAUAAAAUUACACUUGGGACAUGUA